Molecule: transfer RNA, 73 nt
Rfam family: tRNA
About the family: Transfer RNA (tRNA) molecules are approximately 80 nucleotides in length. Their secondary structure includes four short double-helical elements and three loops (D, anti-codon, and T loops). Further hydrogen bonds mediate the characteristic L-shaped molecular structure. tRNAs have two regions of fundamental functional importance: the anti-codon, which is responsible for specific mRNA codon recognition, and the 3' end, to which the tRNAs corresponding amino acid is attached (by aminoacyl-tRNA synthetases). tRNAs cope with the degeneracy of the genetic code in two manners: having more than one tRNA (with a specific anti-codon) for a particular amino acid; and 'wobble' base-pairing, i.e. permitting non-standard base-pairing at the 3rd anti-codon position.
Source: Rfam
GCCUCGGUGGCGCAGUUGGCGGCGCGCCAAUCCCAUAAAUUGGAGGUCGUGAGUUCGAUCCUCACCCGAGGUA